RNAcentral lists this ribosomal RNA (450 nucleotides) under uncultured bacterium. RNAcentral describes it as "partial 16S ribosomal RNA". It matches the Rfam family "Bacterial small subunit ribosomal RNA", at positions 354 to 796 of the family's 1533-position model. The record is from RNAcentral.
GUGGGGAAUUUUGGACAAUGGGCGCAAGCCUGAUCCAGCAAUGCCGCGUGCAGGAAGAAGGCCUUCGGGUUGUAAACUGCUUUUGUACGGAACGAAACGGUCCGGGUUAAUACCCUGGGCUAAUGACGGUACCGUAAGAAUAAGCACCGGCUAACUACGUGCCAGCAGCCGCGGUAAUACGUAGGGUGCAAGCGUUAAUCGGAAUUACUGGGCGUAAAGCGUGCGCAGGCGGAUUUGUAAGACAGGCGUGAAACACCCGGGCUCAACCUGGGAAUUGCGAUAGUGACUGCAAGGCUGGAGUGCGGCAGAGGGGGAUGGAAUUCCGCGUGUAGCAGUGAAAUGCGUAGAUAUGCGGAGGAACACCGAUGGCGAAGGCAAUCCCCUGGGCCUGCACUGACGCUCAUGCACGAAAGCGUGGGGAGCAAACAGGAUUAGAUACCCUAGUAGUCC